AGGGGACACCUUUUUCUUUGAGGCAUGCAGCUGUGGCUAGCCCAGAAGGCCCUGCACCAACUAUCACAGUUCCAGGAACCGAAACACACUUUAAUUGUGACUUCAUCCUUGAGACUGAAAUUUGCAUACUACCUGUUAGCUUGGGUUGUCAAUGUAUAUUAAGAAGCGAAAAGAGUGGGAAGUAAUUUGCUCAGUUGAAGUUGAUGAAAGAUGUAUUGACAAGAGAAUAUAAUGAUACUGAAAAUUUAUUGCCAAGAAGUGAAGCUUCCUUAAUAAAACAAUGGGUAAGAGGUGGGGGGGAGAGAAAAAGAGAAGUUUUCUUGUAGUCUCUGAAAAUUUUAGGUG
Molecule: long non-coding RNA, 345 nt
Organism: Telopea speciosissima
Lineage: Eukaryota; Viridiplantae; Streptophyta; Magnoliopsida; Proteales; Proteaceae
Exons: 3
Source: RefSeq, a predicted model, not a curated record